AUCUGCUAUAAAAGGAUUUGACAACAAAACCUAGCUUGCAUUGAUAGCAUUAAAGAUGUUUUCCAACGUUAUUUUGAACGCGGUAUUUUUAAUGCUGAGUCUUGUUUCCAUAGCAGACAGUUAUUGUUUUCGGUCAUCUACCGGUCCAGGUUUUAAAGACUGUACUGCACCAAAUGAAGACCAUGUAGAAGAUGGUACACGUUAUACAUCAUAUGAAGAUUGUAUCACUUGUGAUUGUAACAGCGGCUCCAUGAAUUGUUGUCAAAUAGGAAUAACUUUGGUUGGCCUCCAUCCAGACUGUAAGGCUGUAAAAGAUGGACCAUGUUGGGAAAAAGCUGUAAUGAAAGACAAUGAAAACGAGCCAUGUCCCUAUCCGUAUGGAGGAAAGGGUCGUUAAGGUUGAUAAAUAAAAUUGAUAUGAGAUAAGAA
Molecule: long non-coding RNA, 429 nt
Organism: Mytilus californianus (California mussel)
Lineage: Eukaryota; Metazoa; Mollusca; Bivalvia; Mytilida; Mytilidae
Exons: 3
Source: RefSeq, a predicted model, not a curated record